This is a long non-coding RNA of Zonotrichia albicollis (white-throated sparrow), 730 nucleotides long. RefSeq lists it as uncharacterized. NCBI's taxonomy places the organism in Eukaryota, Metazoa, Chordata, Aves, Passeriformes, Passerellidae. The record is from RefSeq and is a predicted model, not a curated record.
AUCAGUUUCUCAUCCUUAAAAAAGGGAGCUGAACCGCUUUUGUGAGACCUAGCAUCCUGAGCUGAUCCCCCAGAAGAUCCAGAGCAACCAGCUGCAAGGGCUGGCUCAGCAGCUGUCCCCUGGGGCCUCAGAGGAAGAUGAGUUUUCUGGUGCUUGGCAAAGAAAAAAAAAAUCUCCUUGGCCUGCCGCAGGAUAUUGGGGAAGAGGUUUGAGCUCAAGAGAAUUCAAAUUUGCCUGUAAAGCACCCUUUUUCUUAUGGAGCUAAGGUACCAGUUCAUUUCUUUCCUCCAGUUAAGUCUGCCCUACAGGAUUGCUGUGGAAAUCUGCUGGCUUCAGCUUCCUGUUUGACUGCCAUAAACAAGGAAAUCCAUAUCCUCCUUGCCAGUUUUUCAGCAGAACCAACCUGCUUGUUCCUGGGCAGCUGGGUGAAUUGGAUUUUGGAAGGAUGCUUUGUGUCUUUGAAGUCUUUUCUGGCUAAAUACCAUUAAUCUUCAGAGUGAUUCAGUUCUUAAGGAGGGCAACUCAGCCAGAAUAGGAACCUGGUCUUCUCACUACUAAUCCCGUUGCUACAACCACUAGUUUUUAGAUUUGUGUGUUGAAACAUCUUGAACAAAAUGCUAGUGAGAGCAAUUCUGCAGCAUCCUGCUGACUGAAUUCAAGGUGCAGCCUCGUUUGCCAUCUGCCUGCAAGCUCACAGUAGUAAUUAUAGCGAGUCUCGCAAGUGCUGGAA